Macaca mulatta (Rhesus monkey) is the source of this 1175-nucleotide non-coding RNA. The record is from RefSeq and is a predicted model, not a curated record. NCBI's taxonomy places the organism in Eukaryota, Metazoa, Chordata, Mammalia, Primates, Cercopithecidae.
GCUGUGAGUUCCCCGUUGCUUCAGCUGGACUCUCAAAGCACUCUGAACUUACAAUACCCAGAUGCUCCAUGACUGGCUGAUUUUAUUUUCAUUUUUCCAAGAAUGGCCAAGUAGAUAUGUGUUAGACUUGGGUUGAUGAAGGAGUCAAAACAAAACGGCCUGCUCCACAGUUAAAAACAGGGAAGUCUCACAAUGAGUUGCCACAACUUUCUGAGCUGGGGAGAAACAAGGCUGAUUUAUUUUGAAGGCUUUCUUGCUCAGAUCUCAUUACAAUGCUAAUGGGGCUGCCCUGACUGCCCUCAGGUAUGUAUAAGAGAGUAAAGUACAGCCCAGGGAAAGGGUUGAGCAAAGCUGUCCUAUAGAGAUCAGGCCUUAUCUAUAUUAUCACCAGAAACAAUGAUAAUCACAACCACCACCCCCAAAACAGGUAUUUUCUACUUUUACUUAUACCAACAACGCAUUUCUACUCAGGUUGUGCAUUUGCCUGGAGACUAUUGCUAAAAUGUUCUCAGCUCAUUUUUUGAUGUUAGUCAUGUUAUUAUCCUGUAAUGUUACAGAUGUGAUCACUCAUUUAAAAAAAAAAAAGUUGAAUUUUAUUUUAAUUUGCCCUUUGUCUUUAUUUUCAAAGUUCCAGCAUUUUAGCAGUCUAGGAAAAUGCUUCAGGCUUUUAUUUAUUUAUUUUUUCAGAUUAAAACAAUGUGUGCCUGUAGCAUUCAUCAUUUAAGAAAAUAGUGUUUUUCUCUUUCAGAUCCCAAUUUCCACUCAUUAUUAGAGAGCUGAAUUCUAAAUCAAAGAUUGUGCAGAAGAGAUGUGCAACCUGAAUAAAACAUUUCCAGAAGAGCCUGAAUAAUGGUCCUGAAUAAAGGGACCUGCAAUGUUCUUGAAUUGUAAUUGGAAAAAAUUCAAGUGUGUGUACUCAGGAGCACAUGUACUAAGAAGAGAUGCUGUGAAUCACGUAAUCGAUUGCAUUUUCAAAAUCUUGGGUCCAAAUCCAUGUUACGCAUCUACUAAGCAUACCGUGUAAUCCUGGCAUCUGUUUUUUGCACAGUAAUCCAUUGCCAACCACAGGUCAUUAGAGAAGAGAUAGUGAAUGCUUGGCUCUUUAAGUAUAAUGUGUUUAGAACACUUUAAGAAUUUCCUAUACAUGGAAAGAUUUGGAAGAGUCCUUCAUUCAU